This 1718-nucleotide long non-coding RNA is filed under the name Mus musculus (house mouse). RNAcentral's name for it is "predicted gene, 33035". Lineage: Eukaryota; Metazoa; Chordata; Mammalia; Rodentia; Muridae. The record is from RNAcentral.
AGACAUACAUGGACCAAAGCUUCCAAGGAUGUAGGUAGAUGGCAGGGAUAUUCUGGAUCCCUUUACAAGGAUUCAUCAUCUGAAUGAGCAACGUGGCUGAAUUUCAGGGCGAUGUCCACCUCAUGCCAGGUCCAGAAGUCUCUUUAUCUUCACCAAAGUCAUCCAUAGUAAAGGAACCGCGGAGAACACAGUGUUUGGUGCUGGACCAGGACAAAGGACUGAGGAGCAUAUUUUACACAUCAAAGCCGCUUGGCCUCCAGAGACAAAUGCCUGUACAAUUCAGAGGAUGGAGUCUCCUGGCAGACUACAGAUCAAGGGAUUAAGAGGACCACCAGACAAUGUACCCAGUGUGGGAGCUACUUUGUCUAACCACAUACAUCUUUCUGCUAAUGUCUGGAUCAUCACAUGAAGCCGACUGGAGUGAGACAUAAUUAGAAAAUAGAUCCAUCACCACACUGUCAAUCUACAUUAAAUAGGAUAAUCGCUUGUUGAAUGAGAAAAGAUAUCCAGAAGGUAUCAUCGCAGCAUAACGUCCUGCAUAAAAUCAUGAAAUGAUUCGUUCGGGAGCACAUAGCCUGUGAUAGCCGGAUAGCAGCGUCACCAUCACACAGAAUCGCCAGGCGUGCUUCCCAGAACGUGGCCACUGGUGGACUUGAUCUUCCAGUCACAGGUUUCCUCUCAUCAGCUCCGUAUUUUGCAGAGGAGAAAAGGAAGCAGGAGAAGCUCAAUAAUUUGCUCCGAGUUGGUGACCAAAGAACAAGGAAGUGUGGACAGGAAGUCAAACUCGUAUACGAAAGGGAACGGAGCGCAGGGUUGACCUCCAGGACCACAACUAACCUGAGCUGGAUCCUUGCGAAAAUCACUCCAUCCCUGCUCCUCAGCGAUCCACUGUUCCUAUGACUGAGUGUGGAGCUAGCUGUGUGUGUAAGAUGGUUAGUCUGAGCUAGCACAGGGUGAGUAAGCGCUCACUAGUUAAAGGUUUAACAAGAGUAAGCCACUGGUUGCCAACACUACCUGGUAUCUGAUACUUAACCAAAACACCUCGAGCGGAAGACUGAAAGCUAUUUAUGACAUGGCAUUACAUUCUCCCGUUCUUCCGCCCAUUUGCCCCAAUCCCCUCGAGGUCUGUCUCAGUGUGUUGUCAAGGAUGAGCUGCUUUGUAUGGCCAUCUGCCACCGCGCCGUGCGACAGCGAACGACAUCCUCCAAAAAAUGUUUACAAAUGCUUCUUACAUUGCUGCAGUAUAUUUUUUUCACUAAGCCGAGGCCUCUCCAUUGAAAAAUUAUUUUAAUCAUCGCCAACUGAAUUAUACAAGAAGAAAGCAUGGAGGGAUAGCACUUAGAGGCUCAAUGUACAUUAAUUGCCUCAGCUAAUGAAAGAAACAUGACUUAGCUGAUGCACACAACAUGAAUCCUAAGAUGCACGGACAAUUGAGCGUGGUAAUAAAACAAGUAUUAGAGUGUUAAAUCCAAAACCCUCAUUACGCCGCAUGCAGCAAAACCGACCGUGUACCUGCUGUUCUGAAAGCAUUUCCUCCUCUUGACACUGAAAGUUAAUUAUAGAACCAGGCAUCGAGUUGUGUCACGUGACAUGCGGCUGGGGACCUUCAAAAAACCCUGCAAUAUUAUAUCAGAUAACUUUUGUUUUUUGUUUUUUUAGCUUAUAAAAGAAGUACAUUGGUCAAGCUGAUAUUUAGUUUGCCUUGAUAUUCCAUAGGC